This 404-nucleotide unclassified non-coding RNA is filed under the name soil metagenome. RNAcentral's name for it is "partial contains 5.8S ribosomal RNA, internal transcribed spacer 2, and large subunit ribosomal RNA". The stretch from base 1 to 121 matches the Rfam family "5.8S ribosomal RNA", at positions 35 to 154 of the family's 154-position model. The record is from RNAcentral.
GAUGAAGAACGCAGCGAAAUGCGAUAAGUAAUGUGAAUUGCAGAAUUCAGUGAAUCAUCGAAUCUUUGAACGCACCUUGCGCCCUUUGGCCAUUCCGAAGGGCAUGCCUGUUUGAGUAUCAUGAACACCUCAACUCUCAUGGCUUGCCAUGAUGAGCUUGGACUUUGGGGGUCUUGCUGGCCUGCGGCCAGCUCCUCUCAAAUGAAUUAGCUUUCCAGUGUUUGGUUGGCAUCACAGGUGUGAUAACUAUCUACGCUUGUGGUUUCCACCAGGUAACCUGCAGUAACAUGGGGGUUUGCUGGAGCUCAUAAAUGUCUCUCCUCAGUGGGGACAGCUCUUUGAACGUUUGAUCUCAAAUCAGGUAGGACUACCCGCUGAACUUAAGCAUAUCAAUAAGCGGAGGA